RNAcentral lists this small nuclear RNA (304 nucleotides) under Octodon degus (degu). RNAcentral's name for it is "7SK RNA (ENSODEG00000022954.1)". It matches the Rfam family "7SK RNA". Rfam says of the family: 7SK was discovered as an abundant small nuclear RNA in the mid-70s but a possible function has only recently been suggested. Two independent studies have found that 7SK RNA binds the CDK9/cyclin T complex (known as elongation factor P-TEFb). Lineage: Eukaryota; Metazoa; Chordata; Mammalia; Rodentia; Octodontidae. The record is from Rfam by way of RNAcentral.
GGCUGUGAGGGUUAUCUGGGUGUGACAUCUGUCACCCCAUUGAUUGCCAAGGUUCAUUGGACAGGUCUGGCUGGCUGGGCGGGGUCCCCUUCCUCUCUCACCACUCAAUGUGCAUCCCUCUCCAAGCUAUGAGGACAAACAUACCAUGGAGGAGGAUCUUUUCUUGGUCAAGGGAAUAUGAGUAGCUGUGCUUCCCUGCUAGACCCUUCAAUCUAGCUCAGAAAAUGAAUAUGCAUACGCUAUGCAAAACACCACAUAGGAACACUUACUAUUUUAGUAAGGGAUUGUCUUUCUGUUUUCAAUU